UAAAGUGCUGACAGUGCAGAUAGUGGUCCUCUCCGUGCUACCGCACUGUGGGUACUUGCUGC
Molecule: microRNA precursor, 62 nt
Filed under: Dasypus novemcinctus (nine-banded armadillo)
Lineage: Eukaryota; Metazoa; Chordata; Mammalia; Cingulata; Dasypodidae
Also listed under: 8 other names
Description: Dno-Mir-17-P1d_pre stem-loop
Rfam family: mir-17 microRNA precursor family
About the family: This family represents the microRNA (miRNA) precursor mir-17, family, which includes mir-20, mir-91, and mir-103. miRNAs are transcribed as ~70nt precursors (modelled here) and subsequently processed by the Dicer enzyme to give a ~22nt product. In this case the mature sequence comes from the 3' arm of the precursor.
Source: RNAcentral